This is a non-coding RNA of Picea glauca (white spruce), 72 nucleotides long. The record is from Rfam. Lineage: Eukaryota; Viridiplantae; Streptophyta; Pinopsida; Pinales; Pinaceae.
AGGGUUCUAGCUCAAUGGAAGAGCACAUGCCUUACAAGCAGGAGGUUGGUGGUUCAAUUCCACCAUACUCUA